UCAAACGCGAUGACAGGGACAGUAGAGCGGCAAUGGAUCGGCCAAAAGCGAACCGGGGAUGGUGGAAGCCCGGCGGCCAUCUGCGGCUUAAAGAUCACCCUUGAGCAUUUUUCGUGAACGAAUGAGUAGCGAAAAACGGUUUAUCCACGUUAUGGAUUGUGAGCGGAUAGUUCUUAACUGUCAACCAGGGUGGUACCGCGGAAACCUUUCCGUCCCUUUU
This 220-nucleotide non-coding RNA is filed under the name Domibacillus iocasae. RNAcentral describes it as "T-box sequence". It matches the Rfam family "T-box leader". Rfam says of the family: Uncharged tRNA acts as the effector for transcription antitermination of genes in the T-box leader family. Lineage: Bacteria; Bacillati; Bacillota; Bacilli; Caryophanales; Bacillaceae. The record is from RNAcentral.